RNAcentral lists this ribosomal RNA (480 nucleotides) under Fusarium sp. RFNG110. RNAcentral's name for it is "eukaryotic LSU rRNA". The stretch from base 137 to 290 matches the Rfam family "5.8S ribosomal RNA". The record is from RNAcentral. Lineage: Eukaryota; Fungi; Ascomycota; Sordariomycetes; Hypocreales; Nectriaceae.
CUCCCAAACCCCUGUGAACAUACCAAUUGUUGCCUCGGCGGAUCAGCCCGCUCCCGGUAAAACGGGACGGCCCGCCAGAGGACCCCUAAACUCUGUUUCUAUAUGUAACUUCUGAGUAAAACCAUAAAUAAAUCAAAACUUUCAACAACGGAUCUCUUGGUUCUGGCAUCGAUGAAGAACGCAGCAAAAUGCGAUAAGUAAUGUGAAUUGCAGAAUUCAGUGAAUCAUCGAAUCUUUGAACGCACAUUGCGCCCGCCAGUAUUCUGGCGGGCAUGCCUGUUCGAGCGUCAUUUCAACCCUCAAGCCCAGCUUGGUGUUGGGACUCGCGAGUUAAACCGCGUUCCCCAAAUUGAUUGGCGGUCACGUCGAGCUUCCAUAGCGUAGUAGUAAAACCCUCGUUACUGGUAAUCGUCGCGGCCACGCCGUUAAACCCCAACUUCUGAAUGUUGACCUCGGAUCAGGUAGGAAUACCCGCUGAAC